AUGAGGCGAACCGGGGGAACUGAAACAUCUAAGUACCCCGAGGAAAAGAAAUCAACCGAGAUUCCCCCAGUAGCGGCGAGCGAACGGGGAGGAGCCCAGAGCCUGAAUCAGCAUGUGUGUUAGUGGAAGCGUCUGGAAAGGCGCGCGAUACAGGGUGACAGCCCCGUACACAAAAGCGCAUGUGCUGUGAGCUCGAUGAGUAGGGCGGGACACGUGGUAUCCUGUCUGAAUAUGGGGGGACCAUCCUCCAAGGCUAAAUACUCCUGACUGACCGAUAGUGAACCAGUACCGUGAGGGAAAGGCGAAAAGAACCCCGGCGAGGGGAGUGAAAAAGAACCUGAAACCG
Molecule: ribosomal RNA, 346 nt
Filed under: Salmonella enterica subsp. enterica serovar Brunei
Lineage: Bacteria; Pseudomonadati; Pseudomonadota; Gammaproteobacteria; Enterobacterales; Enterobacteriaceae
Description: partial 23S ribosomal RNA
Rfam family: Bacterial large subunit ribosomal RNA
Source: RNAcentral